AGUGAACGCUGGCGGCAGGCCUAACACAUGCAAGUCGAACGGCAGCACAGGAGAGCUUGCUCUCUGGGUGGCGAGUGGCGGACGGGUGAGGAAUACGUCGGAAUCUGCCUAUUUGUGGGGGAUAACGUAGGGAAACUUACGCUAAUACCGCAUACGACCUACGGGUGAAAGCGGAGGACCUUCGGGCUUCGCGCAGAUAGAUGAGCCGACGUCGGAUUAGCUUGNGGCGGGGUAAAGGCCCACCAAGGCGACGAUCCGUAGCUGGUCUGAGAGGAUGAUCAGCCACACUGGAACUGAGACACGGUCCAGACUCCUACGGGAGGCAGCAGUGGGAAUNUUGGACAAUGGGACNCAAGCCUGAUCCAGCCAUGCCGCGUGUGUAGAAGAA
This 388-nucleotide ribosomal RNA is filed under the name uncultured bacterium. RNAcentral's name for it is "bacterial SSU rRNA". It matches the Rfam family "Bacterial small subunit ribosomal RNA", at positions 29 to 412 of the family's 1533-position model. The record is from RNAcentral.